CAGAGUUCCUCCUGUAAGAGUCACAUUAAUAGCAGAAAUCAGUUCUUCAUUAUUCAGGAGGAAAAGGAGAAGUAAGAAUGAGGCCCUCAUUUUCUGCUAGAUCUUAUUGCUGAACCGAUUUAACAUCUCGGAUCUUAAGCUCCACUCGAGUUCACUGAAGCUUCACAACUAUUAAAACGCUCAGGAUUCAACGGAAACAACGAAAAUAAAAUGGAAACUCAUCUACAUAACAAAGGCGGAGAGAAAGCAGGCAUCUUAUCAGCCAUCACCAGAUCUUUGCUUUUGAACAAGCACUGAAGCCUUACAGGGUGAACACAAUACAAUAGUCUGCGUCAUUAGAAGAAGACAGCCCAGAAAUCUUCAGGUCCCAGGAAGCAAGUAUCGGUUGCAUAAUUUCCUCAUGGAAACAAUUAUAGCACUUUUUGAGAACGGAGACCAGAGAAGCUUGGCCUUUAGAAACGAGGGCUUCCAG
This 472-nucleotide long non-coding RNA is filed under the name Homo sapiens (human). RNAcentral's name for it is "HSALNT0227330". The record is from RNAcentral. Lineage: Eukaryota; Metazoa; Chordata; Mammalia; Primates; Hominidae.